RNAcentral lists this precursor RNA (797 nucleotides) under Oryza rufipogon (brownbeard rice). RNAcentral's name for it is "putative precursor microRNA R156bc". The stretch from base 502 to 589 matches the Rfam family "mir-156 microRNA precursor family". The record is from RNAcentral. RNAcentral also lists the same sequence under 2 other names. Lineage: Eukaryota; Viridiplantae; Streptophyta; Magnoliopsida; Poales; Poaceae.
UCAGAAGAGGCUACUACUAGCUAUCUAGCUUCAUGUUUAACUCUUCUUGGUUUGUGUUUUUGUGUGCUUGUUGGAGUUGUUAGGAGGAAGAGAGGGGUGAGAGGUGAGGCUGACAGAAGAGAGUGAGCACACAUGGUGACUUUCUUGCAUGCUGAAUGGACUCAUGCUUGAAGCUAUGUGUGCUCACUUCUCUCUCUGUCAGCCAUUUGAUCUCUCUUUCUCUCUUUCUCCCUCAUGUGUUAUACUGUUCUCUCAUAUCUAUCUUCUUUGAGGUAGUAAUAUACUUGAGCAAAUUAAGCUGCUUAAUUAUUUGUGUAUGAUGAUCAGCUGCUGAUCCGGCCUCAUUUCUUGCAUAUAUGAGAUCAGUUUCAACCACAACCACAUACAUGCUUGUUCAUUUUUUUUCACAAAGAAAGAGAACAGUUUAAUUUAAUUUCUUGGGGUUUUUGGAUCAGUUAAUUUGUCUUGAGAGGGGAAGAGAUCUCUAUGGGUUUUGGAGGUCUGACAGAAGAGAGUGAGCACACACGGUGCUUUCUUAGCAUGCAAGAGCCAUGCUGGGAGCUGUGCGUGCUCACUCUCUAUCUGUCAGCCGUUCACCAUGCCCAAUAUGAUUAAUCUCCUUCUCUCAGUUGACAGUAAUUUCUUUGCCAGAUCUCCUGUUAAAUUUUCUGCCUAGCUAGCUAUUAUGCACAUGCUUAUUAUGAUGAGCCUGCCAAUAUCAUCUCCACGGCAAAACACAAACUAGCUAUGAUUUGAUUCAUUAUAUUUCUUUUCGCUGUUUAAUUAAUUAUAUGCAG